UGCAAGUCGAGCGCGAAAGGCCUUCGGGCUGAGUAGAGCGGCGGACGGGUGAGUAACGCGUAGGAAUCUACCUGGUAGUGGGGGACAACUUGGGGAAACUCAAGCUAAUACCGCAUACGCCCUAUGGGGGAAAGCGGGGGACCUUCGGGCCUCGCGCUAUCAGAUGAGCCUGCGUAGGAUUAGCUAGUUGGUGAGGUAAAGGCUCACCAAGGCGACGAUCCUUAGCUGGUCUGAGAGGAUGAUCAGCCACACUGGGACUGAGACACGGCCCAGACUCCUACGGGAGGCAGCAGUGGGGAAUAUUGCGCAAUGGGGGCAACCCUGACGCAGCCAUGCCGCGUGUGUGAAGAAGGCCUUCGGGUUGUAAAGCACUUUAAGUGGGGAGAAAGGCCCGUUGGUUAAUAGCCAGCGGGAUUGAUGUUACCCACAGAAUAAGCACCGGCUAACUCCGUGCCAGCAGCCGCGGUAAUACGGAGGGUGCGAGCGUUAAUCGGAAUUACUGGGCGUAAAGCGCGCGUAGGCGGUUUGUUAAGUCAGCUGUGAAAGCCCCGGGCUCAACCUGGGAACUGCAGUUGAUACUGACCGACUAGAGUACGAGAGAGGGAGGUAGAAUUCCAUGUGUAGCGGUGAAAUGCGUAGAUAUAUGGAGGAAUACCGGUGGCGAAGGCGGCCUCCUGGCUCGAUACUGACGCUGAGGUGCGAAAGCGUGUGGAUCAAACAGGAUUAGAUACCCUG
RNAcentral lists this ribosomal RNA (735 nucleotides) under uncultured bacterium. Its description in RNAcentral is "bacterial SSU rRNA". It matches the Rfam family "Bacterial small subunit ribosomal RNA", at positions 56 to 789 of the family's 1533-position model. The record is from RNAcentral.